GCCGGCGUAGCUCAGUUGGCAGAGCAACUGACUUGUCAUCAGUAGGUCCUGGGUUCGAUUCCGCGUGCCGGCACCA
This 76-nucleotide transfer RNA is filed under the name Kistimonas sp. RNAcentral's name for it is "tRNA-Thr". It matches the Rfam family "tRNA". Rfam says of the family: Transfer RNA (tRNA) molecules are approximately 80 nucleotides in length. Their secondary structure includes four short double-helical elements and three loops (D, anti-codon, and T loops). Further hydrogen bonds mediate the characteristic L-shaped molecular structure. tRNAs have two regions of fundamental functional importance: the anti-codon, which is responsible for specific mRNA codon recognition, and the 3' end, to which the tRNAs corresponding amino acid is attached (by aminoacyl-tRNA synthetases). tRNAs cope with the degeneracy of the genetic code in two manners: having more than one tRNA (with a specific anti-codon) for a particular amino acid; and 'wobble' base-pairing, i.e. permitting non-standard base-pairing at the 3rd anti-codon position. Lineage: Bacteria; Pseudomonadati; Pseudomonadota; Gammaproteobacteria; Oceanospirillales; Endozoicomonadaceae. The record is from RNAcentral.